UACGGAGGGUGCGAGCGUUGUUCGGAAUUACUGGGCGUAAAGCGCGUGUAGGCGGCUUCUUAAGUCUGGUGUGAAAUCCCGGGGCUCACCCCCGGAAGUGCAUUGGAUACUGGGAAGCUAGAGUACCGGAGAGGAGGGUGGAAUUCCUGGUGUAGCGGUGAAAUGCGUAGAUAUCAGGAGGAACACCGGUGGCGAAGGCGGCCCUCUGGACGGAUACUGACGCUGAGACGCGAAAGCGUGGGGAGCAAACAGGAUUAGAUACCCGCGUA
RNAcentral lists this ribosomal RNA (269 nucleotides) under uncultured prokaryote. RNAcentral describes it as "partial 16S ribosomal RNA". It matches the Rfam family "Bacterial small subunit ribosomal RNA", at positions 524 to 792 of the family's 1533-position model. The record is from RNAcentral.